GACGAACGCUGGCGGCGUGCUUAACACAUGCAAGUCGAACGGAAAGGCCCUGCUUUUGUGGGGUGCUCGAGUGGCGAACGGGUGAGUAACACGUGAUUAACCUGCCCUUGACUUUGGGAUAACUUCAGGAAACUGGGGCUAAUACCGGAUAGGAGCUCCUGCUGCAUGGUGGGGGUUGGAAAGUUUCGGCGGUUGGGGAUGGACUCGCGGCUUAUCAGCUUGUUGGUGGGGUAGUGGCUUACCAAGGCUUUGACGGGUAGCCGGCCUGAGAGGGUGAACGGCAACAUUGGGACUGAGAUAAGGCCCAGACUCCUAAGGGAGGCAGCAAUGAGGAAUAUUGCACAAUGGGCGGAAGACUGAUGCAGCAACGACGCGUGAGGGAUGAAGGACUUCGGGUUGUAAACCGCUUUCGCCUGUGACGAAGCGUGAGUGAAGGUAAUGGGUAAAGAAGCACCGGCUAAAUACGUG
RNAcentral lists this ribosomal RNA (468 nucleotides) under uncultured bacterium. RNAcentral's name for it is "partial 16S ribosomal RNA". It matches the Rfam family "Bacterial small subunit ribosomal RNA", at positions 28 to 507 of the family's 1533-position model. The record is from RNAcentral.